Molecule: non-coding RNA, 1177 nt
Organism: Punica granatum (pomegranate)
Lineage: Eukaryota; Viridiplantae; Streptophyta; Magnoliopsida; Myrtales; Lythraceae
Source: RefSeq, a predicted model, not a curated record
AAGCAACGAGGUUCCAAGUAUAUAGACAAAGAAGCAGAGGACGAGGGAUGCUAAUUGCCGUAAUAGUGCAUCCGCGGUAAAAUGGAGAAGUAGUGGUGGGUGCUUCUCUGUGGGGGAAGGUAGCACGGGCGCUUCGAUAAGCAAAGUCUGCAAAGAGAGAGAGCAAGAAGGGAAAACAGAGCAGAGAGGUGGGCACUUCGAUAGCACUGAUCAUUUCCGGGGAAAGUAUGGGAAACAAAAAGGGAACAGAGAAGGAAAGAGAUCAAACGCAGAUGUGAAGAUUGAGAUUUCGAAGGGCUAUAGGAUAAUUGUCAUUCCCCGAUCAGGCGCUCUGCUUUCGGCUCUCGCCACAGUCCUCUGUUUAUUGCGUGUGAUCUGCCACCGGCAAUCUGCUCCAUUGUUGGAAACUGACGCUGGUAUUGCCUCUUCCUCCUCCUCGCCUCCUCCCAGACAGCAUUGUCGCCUUCUCCGAACCCCAACGGAUGCCAAGUGCCACCCCCGACCUCAAACGCCAUUUGUGACAAUCGGCACGCCUUGCCUCCCGAGUCCUUCACCGGCCCACUUGUCCAACAUUGGCCCUUGACACCGCCGCCGCUGGUCCCCUCGCUAGCAACAUUACCACCAGGCGCUCUGUACCGAAUGCCCAACUGCCGCCCCGACCAAUAAACGCUGUGUCAUGGCUGUUGCUGCUUCAACAUGCAAGUAUUCACUGCACUGUGCUCUCGUACACCUCUUUGUACUUCUAAUACCAUGGGUAGAGGAGAGAGAAGGACCUCAUGCAUACAUAGCCGCAGUUGGUAUUCUCGACUACACCCGAACAACAGAAGAUGAGAGUCAUUGCUAAGAAAGAACACCAAACUGGGACCGGUUAAGUGAUGUUGGCAUAGGCUGCUUACCGCAAGAGCAGGUGCCGCUGCGUCACCCAUCAUUGCAGGAUGCUCCUCUUCUCAACCUCAACUGUUUAGCCUAAAAACAACUCUGGUACCAAAUCGCAUUGCAAGAAUUGUUGGAGCGUCGUAUAUUUUCAAUAGAGCAACAAAUGAACACCGAGCUGUGGGAGGGCACAUAGUUCAUGAUGUAUCUGAAGACAAUUGAAAUAAAAAAACAUGGGUCAGACUUAAUUUUGAUCACUGCUAACUAUGUACUGCAGUUUAAUAAAUAAGAUUGUUUACUUCCA